This 536-nucleotide long non-coding RNA is filed under the name Vulpes vulpes (red fox). RNAcentral describes it as "lncRNA (ENSVVUG00000003779.1)". Lineage: Eukaryota; Metazoa; Chordata; Mammalia; Carnivora; Canidae. The record is from RNAcentral.
CAAGAGGUCGUUUUAUAAACAAUUACUGAGGUUAGGGCUCUUUAUAUUGUCUUGGUUUCAUCCUAAAAUGUUUCUAUACUUAGGGUCGCCAAGGAAGCCAGAGUGGAGGCUGUCGGAAGGGUGGGUUUGAAUGAACUUUGGCUGCUCCAUCAAGCAGGCUGAUUACUGAGGAAACAUCAAAAGCUUCACCCGAGUGACUCAUCACCCAGAUCCAACAGAGAGUGAAGAGAAAUGUGCCUGUUGAUGAUAAUGUACCUGAAGAGUGAUGAAGGUUGCUGAUUUUUACCUCAGUGAGCAAGGGAAAAAAACCCACAUGAAACUUGAGCCUCAUUAAAAGUAGACUUUUUUUUCUGUGUAUGUGUGUUUUCAGUGAAUAACCAAUUAGAAGUGAACUCAGGCUUCCAAUGUAGCCACUAGGAGUGAGAAGAAAAGGUGAUAGGUGGAUCCCUGCUGUGGCUGAAAGGAGCUCAGGUAAGACUAACCAGAGUGGGACUGCUGGGAUACACACUUAUUUAAAUUCUGCUUUGAGACCUGAC